GCAUUCAUAGUGACUCCACCCCUCAUCCUGUGUUGAGACUUCAUGGUGUUGCUGAGAAAAGGGAGAAGUUUUUCUUUCCCAAGAAGAAUAAGCACAGAAGAAAGGCUGGGUUUGCUGUGCUGAAAUACUGUAAGGUGGAUUAAAAAUGCAAAAUUAGUUGCCUUUGUCGAGAGUGUCCUUCGGAUAAAUGUAGUACUGGAGAUUUCAUUGUCAGUCACUUUGACAGACAGCACUUGUGGCAAGUGUUGUCUGACUUAACUACUUCAACAAACCAGAAAACAGG
This 283-nucleotide long non-coding RNA is filed under the name Mus musculus (house mouse). RNAcentral's name for it is "long non-coding RNA chr2:52551968-52552251". The record is from RNAcentral. Lineage: Eukaryota; Metazoa; Chordata; Mammalia; Rodentia; Muridae.